Molecule: ribosomal RNA, 1477 nt
Filed under: uncultured organism
Description: 16S ribosomal RNA
Rfam family: Bacterial small subunit ribosomal RNA
Source: RNAcentral
GAUGAACGCUGGCGGCGUGCCUAAUACAUGCAAGUCGAACGAGUUCUGAUUAUUGAAAGGUGCUUGCAUCUUGAUUUAAUUUUGAACGAGUGGCGGACGGGUGAGUAACACGUGGGUAACCUGCCCUUAAGUGGGGGAUAACAUUUGGAAACAGAUGCUAAUACCGCAUAAAUCCAAGAACCGCAUGGUUCUUGGCUGAAAGAUGGCGUAAGCUAUCGCUUUUGGAUGGACCCGCGGCGUAUUAGCUAGUUGGUGAGGUAACGGCUCACCAAGGCAAUGAUACGUAGCCGAACUGAGAGGUUGAUCGGCCACAUUGGGACUGAGACACGGCCCAAACUCCUACGGGAGGCAGCAGUAGGGAAUCUUCCACAAUGGACGCAAGUCUGAUGGAGCAACGCCGCGUGAGUGAAGAAGGCUUUCGGGUCGUAAAACUCUGUUGUUGGAGAAGAAUGGUCGGCAGAGUAACUGUUGUCGGCGUGACGGUAUCCAACCAGAAAGCCACGGCUAACUACGUGCCAGCAGCCGCGGUAAUACGUAGGUGGCAAGCGUUAUCCGGAUUUAUUGGGCGUAAAGCGAGCGCAGGCGGUUUUUUAAGUCUGAUGUGAAAGCCCUCGGCUUAACCGAGGAAGUGCAUCGGAAACUGGGAAACUUGAGUGCAGAAGAGGACAGUGGAACUCCAUGUGUAGCGGUGAAAUGCGUAGAUAUAUGGAAGAACACCAGUGGCGAAGGCGGCUGUCUGGUCUGUAACUGACGCUGAGGCUCGAAAGCAUGGGUAGCGAACAGGAUUAGAUACCCUGGUAGUCCAUGCCGUAAACGAUGAAUGCUAGGUGUUGGAGGGUUUCCGCCCUUCAGUGCCGCAGCUAACGCAUUAAGCAUUCCGCCUGGGGAGUACGACCGCAAGGUUGAAACUCAAAGGAAUUGACGGGGGCCCGCACAAGCGGUGGAGCAUGUGGUUUAAUUCGAAGCAACGCGAAGAACCUUACCAGGUCUUGACAUCUUUUGAUCACCUGAGAGAUCAGGUUUCCCCUUCGGGGGCAAAAUGACAGGUGGUGCAUGGUUGUCGUCAGCUCGUGUCGUGAGAUGUUGGGUUAAGUCCCGCAACGAGCGCAACCCUUAUGACUAGUUGCCAGCAUUUAGUUGGGCACUCUAGUAAGACUGCCGGUGACAAACCGGAGGAAGGUGGGGAUGACGUCAAAUCAUCAUGCCCCUUAUGACCUGGGCUACACACGUGCUACAAUGGAUGGUACAACGAGUUGCGAGACCGCGAGGUCAAGCUAAUCUCUUAAAGCCAUUCUCAGUUCGGACUGUAGGCUGCAACUCGCCUACACGAAGUCGGAAUCGCUAGUAAUCGCGGAUCAGCACGCCGCGGUGAAUACGUUCCCGGGCCUUGUACACACCGCCCGUCACACCAUGAGAGUUUGUAACACCCGAAGCCGGUGGAGUAACCCUUUUAGGGAGCGAGCCGUCUAAGGUGGGA